GGAACGAACGCUGGCGGCAGGCCUAACACAUGCAAGUCGAACGCCUGUAGCAAUACAGGAGUGGCAGACGGGUGAGUAACGCGUGGGAACGUGCCCAAAGGUACGGAACAACUCCGGGAAACUGGAGCUAAUACCGUAUGUGCCCGAAAGGGGAAAGAUUUAUCGCCUUUGGAUCGGCCCGCGUCUGAUUAGCUAGUUGGUGAGGUAAUGGCUCACCAAGGCGACGAUCAGUAGCUGGUCUGAGAGGAUGAUCAGCCACACUGGGACUGAGACACGGCCAGACUCCUACGGGAGGCAGCAGUGGGGAAUAUUGCACAAUGGGCGCAAGCCUGAUGCAGCAACGCCGCGUGAGGGACGAAAGGCCUUCGGGUUGUAAACCUUCUUUUAAGUAGGGUAAGAAGCGAAAAGUGACGGUACCUGCAGAAAAAACGCACCGGCUAAACUACGUAGCCAAGCAAGCCGC
Molecule: ribosomal RNA, 463 nt
Filed under: uncultured soil bacterium
Lineage: Bacteria
Description: bacterial SSU rRNA
Rfam family: Bacterial small subunit ribosomal RNA
Source: RNAcentral